UUUUCUUUAAAAACAACAACAAAAGUGCACCCAAGGCAGCAUCAAAUAAUAAUUCAAUCCACACACGUGCUUCAUAGUGCUGAAGGUAGUUAUACAAUGUUCGGUUACUCUUGUGAAACAACUUCAUAAUCUCAUAUCAGUUCCUAAAGAAUAAGCACCUGUCCCACAAACACUCACUAGAUUUUUAUCAUUUAACGCUUUCUGUGCAGAAUUUCAACCACAGAAAUGUUUUACAGAGACAACCAGACCAAUUCCACUGUGAGCCAAAGAGCAGCCAUGAAAUCCAUUGGACAACCUGAGAUGGAUACCAUCAGCCCAGUAUAUGGUGAUUUAGGAACUAGAGCUCACGACUACAGAGAACAUCACCUUAUAAUACAAGCUAAUUGCUAUCUCUCUUGGAGCAUAUACACGUACAAUAUCCUGGGGAUAUUUACUUUUCGAAGCUAAGAGACCUCCUGGAGGAAUUAACAGCUAUCUUAAGUUUCUGACCCCUGCUUGCCUCCUCCCCCUCUAUUUCCCUACAGGAACUGACUGAUGGCACAGCCAGUUUGUUGAACUUGAAGGCUGAAACCAUAGAAAAGCCCAUGCUUAGUCAGGAAACGUGGAAAACCAGCAGAGGGUGGGAAAUCUGUCUGUGCUGGAGCUGGAGGACGCGGCUGGACAGCACAGCCCUUGGACAGCAGACCACAGGACCCCAGGCCCUCCCACACAGCAGCAGACAAAGGCUGCAGGCUGCCUCCCUUCCCUGCCCUCGCUGCACUGAACCCAGUGAUCUCUGGCAAAGCAACAACAGACCAGGGCUUGUUUCCCUUGCUGACCUGGAGCAGCACAAACUUCCAUGUCUGUGCACUUUUGUGCCGCUGCAUUUUGGGGUGGGAUUUGCCUUAUUGCAAUUUUUAAAGUAGCUCUUUUCAAUAUCUGAUAAUAUUUUCUCCCCAAAUUCAAGCUUUAUAUGCUUCUCCAAAAUAUAUCUAAAAUAUAUCUAUAGCUAAUAUAUCCAAUUAUAUCUAAAAAGAAGUCUCUGCCUGCUUAUACUUUAACAGAGAGAGAUAACUUUUUUUUCCAGGAUAUUAAUUGGAUACCAAGGUCAACUGUGAUUGAGAUCUUUCUUAGGCCAAUGCAAAGAUUUCCUCACACAAAGGUGUCUGGUGUGAGAUACUCCCAGAUGGCUUUUUUAAUAUGGGUUCCAAUUCAGAUUUCUCCUGGGACUUGAAGAGAACUCUGAGUAAACAUAUGUUUUGUUGUGUCUCAUGCAAAUCUAAUUGAUUUGACUUCCCUGUCAAGGUGUUAAGGUUUAUUCAAACAGGGAGUCCCUUUUCUUCUCCAAAAUCCAGUGCAUUCUUCUAG
This is a non-coding RNA of Meleagris gallopavo (turkey), 1347 nucleotides long. Lineage: Eukaryota; Metazoa; Chordata; Aves; Galliformes; Phasianidae. The record is from RefSeq and is a predicted model, not a curated record.